Molecule: ribosomal RNA, 499 nt
Filed under: uncultured bacterium
Lineage: Bacteria
Description: partial 16S ribosomal RNA
Rfam family: Bacterial small subunit ribosomal RNA
Source: RNAcentral
ACUCAAAGGAAUAGACGGGGGCCCGCACAAGCGGUGGAGCAUGUGGUUUAAUUCGAUGCAACGCGAAGAACCUUACCUACCCUUGACAUACAGUGGAUUUAGCAGAGAUGUUGAAGUGCCUUCGGGAACACUGAUACAGGUGCUGCAUGGCUGUCGUCAGCUCGUGUCGUGAGAUGUUGGGUUAAGUCCCGUAACGAGCGCAACCCUUAUCCUUAGUUACCAGCGUGUAGAGACGGGGACUCUAGGGAGACUGCCGGUGACAAACCGGAGGAAGGCGGGGAUGACGUCAAGUCAUCAUGGCCCAUACGGGUAGGGCUACACACGUGCUACAAUGGCUAAUACAGAGGGGAGCGAAGGGGCGACCUGGAGCGAAUCUUACAAAGUUAGUCGUAGUCCGGAUUGGAGUCUGCAACUCGACUUCAUGAAGUCGGAAUCGCUAGUAAUCGCGAAUCAGCAUGUCGCGGUGAAUACGUUCCCGGGCCUUGCACACACCGCCCGU